Molecule: ribosomal RNA, 1097 nt
Filed under: Clostridium beijerinckii
Lineage: Bacteria; Bacillati; Bacillota; Clostridia; Eubacteriales; Clostridiaceae
Description: partial 23S ribosomal RNA
Rfam family: Bacterial large subunit ribosomal RNA
Source: RNAcentral
UCCGAAUGAGGAAACUCACAUGGGAAACCCCAUGUAUCAUAAAGUGAAUACAUAGCUUUAUGAAGGUAUACCCAGGGAACUGAAACAUCUAAGUACCUGGAGGAAGAGAAAGAAAAAUCGAUUUUCUUAGUAGCGGCGAGCGAAAAGGAAAGAGCCCAAACCAGAGAUUUAUCUCUGGGGUUGCGGACAGAACAUAACGAGAAAUCAUAGUUAAUUGAACACAACUGGAAAGUUGGACCACAGUGGGUAAUAGUCCCGUAAGUGAAAACUAUGAUAAUCAGUUCUGCACCAGAGUACCACGAGACACGUGAAACCUUGUGGGAAGCAGGGAGGACCACCUCCCAAGGCUAAAUACUACCUGAUGACCGAUAGUGAAGCAGUACCGUGAGGGAAAGGUGAAAAGAACCCCGGGAGGGGAGUGAAAUAGAACCUGAAACCAUGUGCCUACAACCGAUCAGAGCACCUUAUGUGUGUGAUGAUGUGCUUUUUGUAGAACGAGCCAACGAGUUACGGUAUGUAGCGAGGUUAAGUACUUAAGGUACGGAGCCGAAGGGAAACCGAGUCUUAAUAGGGCGACUAGUUGCAUGCUGUAGACCCGAAACCGGGUGACCUAUCCAUGGCCAGGUUGAAGCGAGGGUAAAACCUCGUGGAGGACCGAACCACGUUGCUGUUGAAAAAGCAUGGGAUGAGCUGUGGAUAGCGGAGAAAUUCCAAUCGAACUCGGAUAUAGCUGGUUCUCCUCGAAAUAGCUUUAGGGCUAGCGUCGGAAAAUGUGAGUAGUGGAGGUAGAGCACUGAAUAGGCUAGGGGGCAUAGCGCUUACCGAACCUUAUCAAACUCCGAAUGCCACAUACUAUCAGUCCGGCAGUCAGACUAUGAAAGAUAAGUUCCAUGGUCAAAAGGGAAACAGCCCAGAUCGUCAGCUAAGGUCCCAAAGUGUAAGUUAAGUGGAAAAGGAUGUGGGAUUUCUAAGACAACUAGGAUGUUGGCUUAGAAGCAGCCACUCAUUAAAAGAGUGCGUAAUAGCUCACUAGUCAAGAGAUCCUGCGCCGAAAAUGUCCGGGGCUCAAACUUACCACCGAAGCUACGGGUUCACGC